AUGAAGGGAGCUUGCUCCCUGAUUUAGCGGCGGACGGGUGAGUAAUGCCUAGGAAUCUGCCUGGUAGUGGGGGAUAACGUUCCGAAAGGAACGCUAAUACCGCAUACGUCCUACGGGAGAAAGCAGGGGACCUUCGGGCCUUGCGCUAUCAGAUGAGCCUAGGUCGGAUUAGCUAGUUGGUGAGGUAAUGGCUCACCAAGGCGACGAUCCGUAACUGGUCUGAGAGGAUGAUCAGUCACACUGGAACUGAGACACGGUCCAGACUCCUACGGGAGGCAGCAGUGGGGAAUAUUGGACAAUGGGCGAAAGCCUGAUCCAGCCAUGCCGCGUGUGUGAAGAAGGUCUUCGGAUUGUAAAGCACUUUAAGUUGGGAGGAAGGGCAGUAAGCUAAUACCUUGCUGUUUUGACGUUACCGACAGAAUAAGCACCGGCUAACUUCGUGCCAGCAGCCGCGGUAAUACGAAGGGUGCAAGCGUUAAUCGGAAUUACUGGGCGUAAAGCGCGCGUAGGUGGUUCGUUAAGUUGGAUGUGAAAGCCCCGGGCUCAACCUGGGAACUGCAUCCAAAACUG
Molecule: ribosomal RNA, 570 nt
Filed under: bacterium RBM-C15
Lineage: Bacteria
Description: bacterial SSU rRNA
Rfam family: Bacterial small subunit ribosomal RNA
Source: RNAcentral